RNAcentral lists this transfer RNA (83 nucleotides) under Oligoflexia bacterium. Its description in RNAcentral is "tRNA-Leu". It matches the Rfam family "tRNA". From Rfam's summary of the family: Transfer RNA (tRNA) molecules are approximately 80 nucleotides in length. Their secondary structure includes four short double-helical elements and three loops (D, anti-codon, and T loops). The record is from RNAcentral. Lineage: Bacteria; Pseudomonadati; Bdellovibrionota; Oligoflexia.
GCGAGGAUGGUGGAAUUGGUAUACACGUACGUUUGAGGGGCGUAUGCUUCGGCUUGGGGGUUCGAGUCCCCCUCCUCGCACCA